UGGUUCUGGCAUCGAUGAAGAACGCAGCGAAAUGCGAUAAGUAAUGUGAAUUGCAGAAUUUUAGUGAAUCAUCGAAUCUUUGAACGCACAUUGCGCCCCUUGGUAUUCCGGGGGGCAUGCCUGUUCGAGCGUCAUUUCUCAACCCUCAAGCCUAGCUUGGUCUUGGGCUUUGUCGGCAACGGCUGGCCUUAAAAUCAGUGGCGGUGCUAUCGAGCUCUACGCGUAGUAAUUUUAAACCCUCGCGUGUGAGUCUUGGUAGGACGCUUGCCAACAACUUUUUUAAUGGUUGACCUCGGAUCAGGUAGGGAUACCCGCUGA
This 318-nucleotide unclassified non-coding RNA is filed under the name uncultured fungus. RNAcentral describes it as "partial contains 5.8S ribosomal RNA and internal transcribed spacer 2". The stretch from base 1 to 134 matches the Rfam family "5.8S ribosomal RNA", at positions 22 to 154 of the family's 154-position model. The record is from RNAcentral. Lineage: Eukaryota; Fungi.